Molecule: ribosomal RNA, 461 nt
Filed under: uncultured bacterium
Lineage: Bacteria
Description: partial 16S ribosomal RNA
Rfam family: Bacterial small subunit ribosomal RNA
Source: RNAcentral
CCUACGGGAGGCAGCAGUGAGGAAUAUUGGUCAAUGGGCGGGAGCCUGAACCAGCCAAGUCGCGUGAGGGAAGACGGUCCUACGGAUCGUAAACCUCUUUUGCCGGGGAGCAACGGGGUGGUCGCGUGCGCCCAAUGAGAGUACCCGGAGAAAAAGCAUCGGCUAACUCCGUGCCAGCAGCCGCGGUAAUACGGAGGAUGCGAGCGUUAUCCGGAUUUAUUGGGUUUAAAGGGUGCGUAGGCGGGGUGGUAAGGUAGAGGUGAAAAUGUCGGGCUUAACCACGGGCUUGCGUUGGAAACUGGCGGGCUCGAGUAGGCGAGAGGAAUGCGGAAUGCGUGGUGUAGCGGUGAAAUGCGUAGAUAUCACGAAGAACACCGAUUGCGAAGGCAGCAUACCGGCGCCCUACUGACGCUGAGGCACGAAAGCGUGGGUAUCGAACAGGAUUAGAUACCCCGGUAGUC